This 31-nucleotide non-coding RNA is filed under the name Rattus norvegicus (Norway rat). The record is from RNAcentral. Lineage: Eukaryota; Metazoa; Chordata; Mammalia; Rodentia; Muridae.
UUCCAUGUCAGACAAGAUGUUUCUAAUGGGC